This 261-nucleotide ribosomal RNA is filed under the name uncultured archaeon. RNAcentral describes it as "partial 16S ribosomal RNA". It matches the Rfam family "Archaeal small subunit ribosomal RNA", at positions 748 to 1009 of the family's 1478-position model. The record is from RNAcentral.
CAGCCGUAAACUAUGCUCGCUAGGUGUCAGGUAUGGCGCGACCGUGUCUGGUGCCGCAGGGAAGCCGUGAAGCGAGCCACCUGGGAAGUACGGCCGCAAGGCUGAAACUUAAAGGAAUUGGCGGGGGAGCACAACAACGGGUGGAGCCUGCGGUUUAAUUGGACUCAACGCCGGACAACUCACCGGGGACGACAGCAAUAUGUAGGCCAGGCUGAAGACCUCGCCUGAAUCGCUGAGAGGAGGUGCAUGGCGUAGACGUCU